CUAGCCAGUGACGGGUAUGGGCACUGAGAGAGGGAGCCCAGAGAUGGAAUCUGAGACACGAUUCCAGGCCUUACGGGGCGCAGCAGUCGCGAAAACUUCACACUGGGGGCAACCCCGAUGAGGGAAUUCCCAGUGCUAGUGGUUUUUGUGGUAGGUUUUAUUUAGUAUAGAUAGUUAAAGGAAUAAGGGUUGGGUAAGACGGGUGCCAGCCGCCGCGGUAAUACCCGCAGCCCAAGUGGUGGUCGAUAUUAUUGAGUCUAAAACGUUCGUAGCCGGUUCGCUAAAUCCCUGGGUAAAUCGGUCAGCUUAACUGACCGACUUCCGGGGAGACUGGCGAACUUGGGACCGGGAGAGGCUAGAGGUACUUCUGGGGUAGGGGUAAAAUCCUGUAAUCCUAGAAGGACCACCGGUGGCGAAGGCGUCUAGCUAGAACGGAUCCGACGGUGAGGGACGAAGCCCUGGGGCGCAAACGGGGUUAGAUACCCCGGUGGUCCAGGGUGUAAACGCUGCAGACUUGGUGUUGG
RNAcentral lists this ribosomal RNA (524 nucleotides) under uncultured Methanomassiliicoccales archaeon. Its description in RNAcentral is "bacterial SSU rRNA". It matches the Rfam family "Archaeal small subunit ribosomal RNA", at positions 253 to 777 of the family's 1478-position model. The record is from RNAcentral. Lineage: Archaea; Methanobacteriati; Thermoplasmatota; Thermoplasmata; Methanomassiliicoccales.